Molecule: unclassified non-coding RNA, 388 nt
Filed under: soil metagenome
Description: partial contains 5.8S ribosomal RNA, internal transcribed spacer 2, and large subunit ribosomal RNA
Rfam family: 5.8S ribosomal RNA (bases 1-122)
Source: RNAcentral
GAUGAAGAACGUAGCGAAAUGCGAUACUUGGUGUGAAUUGCAGAAUCCCGCGAAUCAUCGAGUUUUUGAACGCAAGUUGCGCCCGAAGCCAUUCGGCCGAGGGCACGUCUGCCUGGGUGUCGCAUCGUUGCCCCCCCAAACUCCGGUUCGGGCGGGGCGGAAGUUGGCCUCCCGUGCGUGCCUGCGCGCGCGGUUAGCCCAAAAGCGAGUCCUCGGCGAUGAGCGCCACGACAAUCGGUGGUUUUUUUACCCUCGUUCCUCGUCGUGCGUGCCCCGUCGCCCGAACGCGCUCUUGCAACCCUUACGCGUCGCCUCGGUGGCGCUCCCAACGCGACCCCAGGUCAGGCGGGACUACCCGCUGAGUUUAAGCAUAUCAAUAAGCGGAGGA